RNAcentral lists this long non-coding RNA (208 nucleotides) under Elaeis guineensis (African oil palm). Its description in RNAcentral is "long non-coding RNA (EGUI_LNC064249)". The record is from RNAcentral. Lineage: Eukaryota; Viridiplantae; Streptophyta; Magnoliopsida; Arecales; Arecaceae.
CUCGAAAGGUAUUUAGACAUGCUUAAUAGAAAAUAUAAAGAAAGUUAUUUCUCAUGGGAGAUAGGGAAUAUAAAGAUGAUCUCAAAACCUACAAUGAAAUGAUGUAAGACAUCGACUCCAAGAAAGAGAUGUGAAUUAGCUUUUCUAACAAGAUAUCUUUUGAAGAUUUCUAUAUGGAGUAGCCUAUAGAUUUUACUUCUUGUGAUAG